RNAcentral lists this ribosomal RNA (172 nucleotides) under Staphylococcus aureus. RNAcentral describes it as "partial 23S ribosomal RNA". It matches the Rfam family "Bacterial large subunit ribosomal RNA", at positions 2751 to 2925 of the family's 2925-position model. Lineage: Bacteria; Bacillati; Bacillota; Bacilli; Caryophanales; Staphylococcaceae. The record is from RNAcentral.
AUGUGUGGACGGGAUAAGGGCUGAAAGCAUCUAAGCAUGAAGCCCCCCUCAAGAUGAGAUUUCCCAACUUCGGUUAUAAGAUCCCUCAAAGAUGAUGAGGUUAAUAGGUUCGAGGUGGAAGCAUGGUGACAUGUGGAGCUGACGAAUACUAAUCGAUCGAAGACUUAAUCAA